AGAGUUUGAUCAUGGCUCAGAUUGAACGCUGGCGGUAGGCUUAACACAUGCAAGUCGUGCGAGAAAGUAUCUUCGGAUAUGAGUAGAGCGGCGGACGGGUGAGUAACGCGUAGGAAUCUACCUAGUAGAAGGGGAUAGCCCGGGGAAACUCGGAUUAAUACCGUAUACCUCCUUUGGGAGAAAGAGGGCCUCUCUUGAUGCUCUCGCUAUUAGAUGAGCCUGCGUAAGAUUAGCUUGUUGGUAAGGUAAUGGCUUACCAAGGCUACGAUCUUUAGCUGGUCUGAGAGGACGAUCAGCCACAUUGGGACUGAGACACGGCCCAGACUCCUACGGGAGGCAGCAGUGGGGAAUAUUGGACAAUGGGCGCAAGCCUGAUCCAGCCAUACCGCGUGUGUGAAGAAGGCCUUCGGGUUGUAAAGCACUUUAAGCAGGGAGAAAAAGCUAUAAGUUAAUACCUUAUAGCCGUGAUGUUACCUGCAGAAUAAGCACCGGCUAAUUCCGUGCCAGCAGCCGCGGUAAUACGGAAGGUGCAAGCGUUAAUCGGAAUUACUGGGCGUAAAGCGCGCGUAGGUGGUUUGUUAAGUUGGAUGUGAAAGCCCUGGGCUCAACCUAGGAACUGCAUCCAAAACUAACUCACUAGAGUACGAUAGAGGGAGGUAGAAUUCAUAGUGUAGCGGUGGAAUGCGUAGAUAUUAUGAAGAAUACCAGUGGCGAAGGCGGCCUCCUGGAUCUGUACUGACACUGAGGUGCGAAAGCGUGGGUAGCGAACAGGAUUAGAUACCCUGGUAGUCCACGCCGUAAACGAUGACAACUAGCUGUUGGGAGACAAUGUCUUUCAGUGGCGCAGCUAACGUUUUAAGUUGUCCGCCUGGGGAGUACGGCCGCAAGG
RNAcentral lists this ribosomal RNA (889 nucleotides) under uncultured bacterium. Its description in RNAcentral is "bacterial SSU rRNA". It matches the Rfam family "Bacterial small subunit ribosomal RNA", at positions 8 to 893 of the family's 1533-position model. The record is from RNAcentral.